This 507-nucleotide ribosomal RNA is filed under the name Marinobacter koreensis. RNAcentral's name for it is "bacterial SSU rRNA". It matches the Rfam family "Bacterial small subunit ribosomal RNA", at positions 902 to 1409 of the family's 1533-position model. Lineage: Bacteria; Pseudomonadati; Pseudomonadota; Gammaproteobacteria; Pseudomonadales; Marinobacteraceae. The record is from RNAcentral.
AAAAAAACUUGACGGGGGCCCGCACAAGCGGUGGAGCAUGUGGUUUAAUUCGACGCAACGCGAAGAACCUUACCUGGCCUUGACAUCCUGCGAACUUUCUAGAGAUAGAUUGGUGCCUUCGGGAACGCAGUGACAGGUGCUGCAUGGCCGUCGUCAGCUCGUGUCGUGAGAUGUUGGGUUAAGUCCCGUAACGAGCGCAACCCCUAUCCCUAGUUGCUAGCAGUUCGGCUGAGAACUCUAGGGAGACUGCCGGUGACAAACCGGAGGAAGGUGGGGAUGACGUCAGGUCAUCAUGGCCCUUACGGCCAGGGCUACACACGUGCUACAAUGGCGCGCACAGAGGGCUGCAAACCCGCGAGGGCAAGCCAAUCUCUUAAAACGCGUCGUAGUCCGGAUCGCAGUCUGCAACUCGACUGCGUGAAGUCGGAAUCGCUAGUAAUCGCGAAUCAGAAUGUCGCGGUGAAUACGUUCCCGGGCCUUGUACACACCGCCCGUCACACCAUGGGA